CACUAUCGUUAACUGAAUACAUAGGUUAACGAGGCGAACCGGGGGAACUGAAACAUCUAAGUACCCCGAGGAAAAGAAAUCAACCGAGAUUCCCCCAGUAGCGGCGAGCGAACGGGGAGCAGCCCAGAGUCUGAAUCAGCUUGUGUGUUAGUGGAACGGUCUGGAAAGUCCGACGGUACAGGGUGAUAGUCCCGUACACCAAAAUGCACAGGUGUGAACUCGAAGAGUAGGGCGGGACACGUGGUAUCCUGUCUGAAUAUGGGGGGACCAUCCUCCAAGGCUAAAUACUCCUGACUGACCGAUAGUGAACCAGUACCGUGAGGGAAAGGCGAAAAGAACCCCGGCGAGGGGAGUGAAAAAGAACCUGAAACCGUGUACGUACAAGCAGUGGGAGCACCUUCGGGUGUGACUGCGUACCUUUUGUAUAAUGGGUCAGCGACUUAUAUUCUGUAGCAAGGUUAACCGUAUAGGGGAGCCGCAGGGAAACCGAGUCUUAACUGGGCGUUAAGUUGCAGGGUAUAGACCCGAAACCCGGUGAUCUAGCCAUGGGCAGGUUGAAGGUUGGGUAACACUAACUGGAGGACCGAACCGACUAAUGUUGAAAAAUUAGCGGAUGACUUGUGGCUGGGGGUGAAAGGCCAAUCAAACCGGGAGAUAGCUGGUUCUCCCCGAAAGCUAUUUAGGUAGCGCCUCGUGAACUCAUCUUCGGGGGUAGAGCACUGUUUCGGCUAGGGGGUCAUCCCGACUUACCAACCCGAUGCAAACUACGAAUACCGAAGAAUGUUAUCACGGGAGACACACGGCGGGUGCUAACGUCCGUCGUGAAGAGGGAAACAACCCAGACCGCCAGCUAAGGUCCCAAAGUCAUGGUUAAGUGGGAAACGAUGUGGGAAGGCACAGACAGCCAGGAUGUUGGCUUAGAAGCAGCCAUCAUUUAAAGAAAGCGUAAUAGCUCACUGGUCGAGUCGGCCUGCGCGGAAGAUGUAACGGGGCUAAACCAUGCACCGAAGCUGCGGCAGCGACACUAUGUGUUGUUGGGUAGGGGAGCGUUCUGUAAGCCUGCGAAGGUGUGCUGUGAGGCAUGCUGGAGGUAUCAGAAGUGCGAAUGCUGACAUAAGUAACGAUAAAGCGGGUGAAAAGCCCGCUCGCCGGAAGACCAAGGGUUCCUGUCCAACGUUAAUCGGGGCAGGGUGAGUCGACCCCUAAGGCGAGGCCGAAAGGCGUAGUCGAUGGGAAACAGGUUAAUAUUCCUGUACUUGGUGUUACUGCGAAGGGGGGACGGAGAAGGCUAUGUUAGCCGGGCGACGGUUGUCCCGGUUUAAGCAUGUAGGCUGUUUCCAGGCAAAUCCGGAUAACAAGGCUGAGGUGUGAUGACGAGGCACUACGGUGCUGAAGUAACAAAUGCCCUGCUUCCAGGAAAAGCCUCUAAGCAUCAGGUAACAUAAAUCGUACCCCAAACCGACACAGGUGGUCAGGUAGAGAAUACCAAGGCGCUUGAGAGAACUCGGGUGAAGGAACUAGGCAAAAUGGUGCCGUAACUUCGGGAGAAGGCACGCUGGUGUGUAGGUGAAGUCCCUGCGGAUGGAGCUGAGACCAGUCGAAGAUACCAGCUGGCUGCAACUGUUUAUUAAAAACACAGCACUGUGCAAACACGAAAGUGGACGUAUACGGUGUGACGCCUGCCCGGUGCCGGAAGGUUAAUUGAUGGGGUUAUCCGUAAGGAGAAGCUCUUGAUCGAAGCCCCGGUAAACGGCGGCCGUAACUAUAACGGUCCUAAGGUAGCGAAAUUCCUUGUCGGGUAAGUUCCGACCUGCACGAAUGGCGUAAUGAUGGCCAGGCUGUCUCCACCCGAGACUCAGUGAAAUUGAACUCGCUGUGAAGAUGCAGUGUACCCGCGGCAAGACGGAAAGACCCCGUGAACCUUUACUAUAGCUUGACACUGAACAUUGAGCCUUGAUGUGUAGGAUAGGUGGGAGGCUUUGAAGCGUGGACGCCAGUCUGCGUGGAGCCAACCUUGAAAUACCACCCUUUAAUGUUUGAUGUUCUAACGUUGGCCCCUGACCGGGGUUGCGGACAGUGUCUGGUGGGUAGUUUGACUGGGGCGGUCUCCUCCCAAAGCGUAACGGAGGAGCACGAAGGUUAGCUAAUCCUGGUCGGACAUCAGGAGGUUAGUGCAAUGGCAUAAGCUAGCUUGACUGCGAGCGUGACGGCGCGAGCAGGUGCGAAAGCAGGUCAUAGUGAUCCGGUGGUUCUGAAUGGAAGGGCCAUCGCUCAACGGAUAAAAGGUACUCCGGGGAUAACAGGCUGAUACCGCCCAAGAGUUCAUAUCGACGGCGGUGUUUGGCACCUCGAUGUCGGCUCAUCACAUCCUGGGGCUGAAGUAGGUCCCAAGGGUAUGGCUGUUCGCCAUUUAAAGUGGUACGCGAGCUGGGUUUAGAACGUCGUGAGACAGUUCGGUCCCUAUCUGCCGUGGGCGCUGGAGAAUUGAGGGGGGCUGCUCCUAGUACGAGAGGACCGGAGUGGACGCAUCACUGGUGUUCGGGUUGUCAUGCCAAUGGCACUGCCCGGUAGCUAAAUGCGGAAGAGAUAAGUGCUGAAAGCAUCUAAGCACGAAACUUGCCCCGAGAUGAGUUCUCCCUGAGACU
This 2645-nucleotide ribosomal RNA is filed under the name Klebsiella pneumoniae. Its description in RNAcentral is "bacterial LSU rRNA". It matches the Rfam family "Bacterial large subunit ribosomal RNA". The record is from RNAcentral. Lineage: Bacteria; Pseudomonadati; Pseudomonadota; Gammaproteobacteria; Enterobacterales; Enterobacteriaceae.